Zingiber officinale is the source of this 211-nucleotide long non-coding RNA. RefSeq lists it as uncharacterized. The record is from RefSeq and is a predicted model, not a curated record. The transcript has 3 exons. NCBI's taxonomy places the organism in Eukaryota, Viridiplantae, Streptophyta, Magnoliopsida, Zingiberales, Zingiberaceae.
GAUCACUGGUGUAUGCUCUGUAUCUCCCCACCAGAUGGAUUGAAUCGGGUGAUCAACCUUGAGGAAGCAUUGGAUCAAUAUGUGGUGGACCUUCCUUGUUGCCGACCAUUGCCAGUUCUACUUCUUCAAGCUGUGCAGGCCUCGGGUGAAGAGGUAGCCUGUAGAUGGUUGGUGUCGCUCGGAGUAUCCUGUCUGCCGGGUCCUACGUCAC